Molecule: ribosomal RNA, 245 nt
Filed under: Vibrio parahaemolyticus
Lineage: Bacteria; Pseudomonadati; Pseudomonadota; Gammaproteobacteria; Vibrionales; Vibrionaceae
Description: partial 23S ribosomal RNA
Rfam family: Bacterial large subunit ribosomal RNA
Source: RNAcentral
UCUUGCGUUAGGUGGACAUGCUGGAAAGCAUGGCAAUAAAGGGUGAUAGCCCCGUAACCAACAGCGCAUUAUCAGUGAAAUCGAGUAGGACGGGACACGUGUUAUCCUGUCUGAAUAUGGGGGGACCAUCCUCCAAGGCUAAAUACUCCUGACUGACCGAUAGUGAACCAGUACCGUGAGGGAAAGGCGAAAAGUACCCCUGUGAGGGGAGUGAAAUAGAACCUGAAACCGUGUACGUACAAGCA